This 1455-nucleotide long non-coding RNA is filed under the name Homo sapiens (human). RNAcentral's name for it is "HSALNT0118369". Lineage: Eukaryota; Metazoa; Chordata; Mammalia; Primates; Hominidae. The record is from RNAcentral.
UUUUUUUUUUUUUGGUAGAGACAGGCUCUUGCUAUGUUGCCCAGGCUAAUCUUGAGCUCCUGAGCUCAAGUGAUGCUUCCACCUCAGUCUCCUAAAAUGCUGGGAUUAUAGGUGUGAGCCACCACGUCCAGCCUUACACGAGUUCCUUCUCACAAGUUCCACUUCUCAGAGUACAGAGCGCAGCCACUGAGACCACUUCCAUUUUGUGGGUGCAAAAACUGAGACUGCAGGUGGUUAGGUGCAGUGUCUAAAGUCUCAGGUUAUGUUGUAUAUGCUGCAUAAAGGUCACGCUGGGAAGGCGCGUCCGUGGGGCCACGUGUGGGCCUAGCCCUGGUGUAUUGGGUGUGUACGUGCAUGGCUGUGGACACUUCUAUGUGGGAGGGGCCCAAAUCGGCUGUAAGACCUCAUAGGUGAGGCCAGAUGCAGUGGCUCACACCUGUAAUCCCUGUGCUUUGGGAGGCCGGAGUGGGAGGAUCACUUGAGCCCAGGAGGUUGAGGCUGCGGUGAGCCAUGAUGGCACCACGACACUCCAGCCUGGGCGACAGAGCAAGACUCCGUCUCAAAAAAAAAAAAAAAAAAAAAAAAGGCUGGGCGUGGUGGCUCACACCUGUAAUCCCAGUGCUUUGGGAGGCCGAGGUGGGUGGAUCAUGAGGUCAGGAGAUAGAGACCAUCAUGGUUAACAUGGUGAAACCUCUUCUCUACUAAAAACACAAAAGAAUAGCUGGGCGUAGUGACAUGCGCCUUUAGUCCCAGCUACUCGGGAGGCUGACGCAGGAGAAUCGCUUGAACUUGGGAGGCGGAGGUUGCAGUGAGCCAAGAUCGUGCCAUUGCACUCCAGCCUGGGGCACAAGAGUGAGACUCCAUUUCAAAACAAACAAACAAGCAAACAAACACCUUCACAUGUGAGAACAGGUGUCUGUCUGUUCACCUGGUGAGCUGGACAGUCAGCAGCUGCAGGCAGGGAAGUGGCAGGGGAGAGGACGCUUACCUGUCAUGGCCGUGUAGCCCAGGAAGCAUGCGAUUUUCUCCUGACAGAGCUCCUGCUCCUCAUAGGUCAGCAGCUGGUAGAUGAACUGCCACAGGACCUGCUUGGCAGGGGUGUCCAGCACAGGGUAGACGUCAACGAUGAGGGUGUCGAUGUUCCUGGGGGAAGGUGCAGGAAUGUGAGGCUCAAUACUCACGGGCUUACCAUGAUGCACAGAGUGGGGGUAGACAAGACGGCACUUCCAAGCCACAGCGUCUGCCCUCAUGCCCUAUCCCUACCCUUCAAAGACAGAAGUGGGGGCCGGGCACAGUGGCUCACGCCUGUAAUCCCAGCACUUUGAGAGGCCGAGGCAGGUGGAUCAUUUGAGGUCAGGAGUUCGAGACCAGCCCAGCCAACAUGGUGAAAGGCCGUCUCUACUGAAAGUAUAAAAAUUAGUCAGGUGUGGUGGUGCACACCUGUAAUCCCAGCUA